Molecule: small RNA, 447 nt
Filed under: Histoplasma ohiense
Lineage: Eukaryota; Fungi; Ascomycota; Eurotiomycetes; Onygenales; Ajellomycetaceae
Description: hypothetical lncRNA
Source: RNAcentral
CAAAGCCGGUGAGAAUCCAAUUUCCAAGGAUUCCAUCUCGUAUCAAGAGACAGACUCUCGAGGAAAGGUCGCUGUUGUGGCCUCCCAGGACAGAUCAGGGGUUUGUGGCGCACAGGGAUCUGCCUCUAAGAGCCGAGUUGAUACAACCCAAGGAACACCACCAAAGUCAAAUUUCCACAACGAUGGCUUGCAACCAUCUCCUGUCAGUUUCUCCCUCCAACCAGCAGCUCAACAGGAACUGAGGCCCUAAAUAUUGGCUCUCGCCACUCCGACAAGCUUAGUAACGCCAUUAAUAUUGGCAAGAGAGCUACGUGAGGAUCUCAUGUGCGUCAUCCGGCGCAUCUCUUGUCGUUCCUUGAGUCCUUGGAGCAUUCCAUCGAAGAACGGCCCGAGCCCCGAACCACCGGGAUUCCGGGAUCCCGGGCUGAAUCCCCCCAUGCGCCUCUG